ACAAAAUCAAUGAAGUUCUUUUUUAUUUUUAUUUUUUAAAUGUAUAAAGCUAAGAAACUGCAGGAGGGCAGAAUCCACUCUGCAAGAGGAAGUCUAGCUGCAGGACAAAGGAGCAUCAAAGUAUCACCCUUGCACACUCAAUGAAGAUGAGUGAUACCAGGAGUGAUUGUUGCUCAUUUCCUUUUAGUCACUGAAUGAUGAGUUUCAAGGAAGAUCAUAAAGGAGCCAAAGAAGAACCAGAUACAGUUGACACAACAUCUAUUAAGGACUAUACCGCAGAACAAGGACCAUUGAAACUGGAAGACUCAUGCUCUAAUUUGUAUGGGUGAUGUGAACUUAAAACAUUAGCAACCAAAUAGUCAAUACAUUAAGAGCUGUUGUGAACUCUGCAUAGGCUUCCCAGCUUGGCCUCCUGAUGUCAAGAUCCUAUUAAGUCUCUGCCAGCUGUGAGAUGCAUCAUUCUGUAUGCACCAACCUGUGUAGACUCUAUCUCUAGAGGCCAUCAAGCAUGUAAUUUCCCUCUCAGUGCAGUUCACUGCACAGGUUCAGAUAAGUAUUCUUUAUAUCCCACAUAAGAUUAGGAUGUAACUGCAUCUAGCUUUAGAAUGGUUGUGCUAAGGUCUUUGAUGAGAACACCAAACUGGAGCCCAAAGUGUUGGAUGAUUUCCAGGCAGUAUCCACUUUGUUAAUUUGGGCAAAUUCUUAGUAUUUGUAUUAAAACUUUGGCUGCUAGAAUGUACUGCUCCAGAGUGGCUAAUUUUGUCUCACAUUUUUGUU
This is a long non-coding RNA of Anolis carolinensis (green anole), 777 nucleotides long. RefSeq lists it as uncharacterized. The record is from RefSeq and is a predicted model, not a curated record. NCBI's taxonomy places the organism in Eukaryota, Metazoa, Chordata, Lepidosauria, Squamata, Anolidae. The transcript has 3 exons.